Molecule: unclassified non-coding RNA, 420 nt
Filed under: fungal sp.
Lineage: Eukaryota; Fungi
Description: partial internal transcribed spacer region
Rfam family: Eukaryotic small subunit ribosomal RNA (bases 1-46)
Source: RNAcentral
AAGUCGUAACAAGGUUUCCGUAGGUGAACCUGCGGAAGGAUCAUUAAUACGCUUUUGUUUGUAACAAAACAAAACGUUUUAAACUCCAAAAGAAAUAGUGGAAAUAUAACUUCCGGAUGCGAAUGUUGGGAACUGAGUAAAAUCGGUUCUUUGAAAAAGGGACUUCAAGUAAUUGACACUUCAGAGUAGAGCAGUGAGGUGAAAUUCUCUUUAAUGAGAGUUUGGUUCUGAAAAACAUUUGUAUCCGGUUAUCAUAAUCUGUUCUACAACCUCCAAAAUAUCAAACAAUAAACCCAAUGUACAACAACUUGAACUAAACAUUUUUUUGUCGUCCGCUUACACACUUGUUGUGUGAGAAGAUACUGCAAAGAAAAAACCUGAACUUAAGAACAACUCUUAACAACGGAUAUCUUGGUUCUC